GAUGAACGCUGGCGGCGUGCCUAAUACAUGCAAGUCGAGCGAACGGACGAGAAGCUUGCUUCUCUGAUGUUAGCGGCGGACGGGUGAGUAACACGUGGAUAACCUACCUAUAAGACUGGGAUAACUUCGGGAAACAGGAGAUAAUACCGGAUAAUAUUUUGAACCGCAUGGUUCAAAAGUGAAAGACGGUCUUGCUGUCACUUAUAGAUGGUUCCGCGCUGCAUUAGCUAGUUGGUAAGGUAACGGCCUACCAAGGCAACGAUGCAUAGCCGACCUGAGAGGGUGAUCGGCCACCCUUGAACUUGGACACGGUCCAGGCUCCUACGGGAGGCAGCAGUAGGGAAUCUUCCGCAAUGGGCGAAAGCCUGACGGAGCAACGCCGCGUGAGUGAUGAAGGUCUUCGGAUCGUAAAACUCUGUUAUUAGGGAAGAACAUAUGUGUAAUUAACUGUGCACAUCUUGACGGUACCUAAUCAGAAAGCCACGGCUAACUACGUG
This 497-nucleotide ribosomal RNA is filed under the name uncultured bacterium. RNAcentral describes it as "partial 16S ribosomal RNA". It matches the Rfam family "Bacterial small subunit ribosomal RNA", at positions 28 to 507 of the family's 1533-position model. The record is from RNAcentral.